Molecule: ribosomal RNA, 239 nt
Filed under: uncultured bacterium
Lineage: Bacteria
Description: partial 16S ribosomal RNA
Rfam family: Bacterial small subunit ribosomal RNA
Source: RNAcentral
CCGGCACGGGUGGAGUAACGCGUAUGCAACUUACCUAUCAGAGGGGGAUAACCCGGCGAAAGUCGGACUAAUACCGCAUGAAGCAGGGGCCCCGCAUGGGGAUAUUUGCUAAAGAUUCAUCGCUGAUAGAUAGGCAUGCGUUCCAUUAGGCAGUUGGCGGGGUAACGGCCCACCAAGCCGACGAUGGAUAGGGGUUCUGAGAGGAAGGUCCCCCACAUUGGUACUGAGACACGGUCCAA